This 476-nucleotide ribosomal RNA is filed under the name uncultured bacterium. RNAcentral's name for it is "partial 16S ribosomal RNA". It matches the Rfam family "Bacterial small subunit ribosomal RNA", at positions 29 to 523 of the family's 1533-position model. The record is from RNAcentral.
AAUGAACGUUGGCGGCGUGGAUUAGGCAUGCAAGUCGUACGGGCGUAGCAAUACGUCAGUGGCGAAAGGGAUAGUAAUACAUAGAUCAUCUGCCCCCCGGCCGGGGAUAGCUACGGGAAACUGUAGGUAAUACCCGAUGAUUUCUCCGGAACAAAGGUGUGACUCCGCCGGGGGAUGAGUCUACGUCCUAUUAGCUUGUUGGCGAGGUAAUGGCUCACCAAGGCUAUGAUGGGUACGAGGCGUGAGAGCGUGUCCUCGAUCACUGGGACUGAGACACUGCCAGACACCUACGGGUGGCUGCAGUCGAGAAUCUUCGGCAAUGGACGAAAGUCUGACCGAGCGACGCCGCGUGUGGGAUGAAGGUCUUCGGAUUGUAAACCACUGUAAGUUGGGAGGAAGUGCAUGGGGGUUCUCCCCUGUGUUUGACCUAUCUUCAAAGUAAGGACGGGCUAAGUUCGUGCCAGCAGCCGCGGUAA